This 934-nucleotide ribosomal RNA is filed under the name uncultured Oceanospirillales bacterium. RNAcentral's name for it is "bacterial SSU rRNA". It matches the Rfam family "Bacterial small subunit ribosomal RNA", at positions 8 to 933 of the family's 1533-position model. Lineage: Bacteria; Pseudomonadati; Pseudomonadota; Gammaproteobacteria; Oceanospirillales. The record is from RNAcentral.
AGGGUUUGAUCAUGGCUCAGAUUGAACGCUGGCGGCAGGCCUAACACAUGCAAGUCGAGCGGCAGCACGGGAAGCUUGCUUCCUGGUGGCGAGCGGCGGACGGGUGAGUAAUGCAUAGAAAUCUGCCCGGUAGUGGGGGAUAACCUGGGGAAACCCAGGCUAAUACCGCAUGCGUCCUACGGGAGAAAGCAGGGGAUCUUCGGACCUUGCGCUAUCGGAUGAGUCUAUGUCGGAUUAGCUUGUUGGUGAGGUAAUGGCUCACCAAGGCGACGAUCCGUAGCUGGUCUGAGAGGAUGAUCAGCCACAUCGGGACUGAGACACGGCCCGAACUCCUACGGGAGGCAGCAGUGGGGAAUAUUGGACAAUGGGCGAAAGCCUGAUCCAGCCAUGCCGCGUGUGUGAAGAAGGCCUUCGGGUUGUAAAGCACUUUCAGUGGGGAAGAAAGCCUUGGGGCUAAUACCCUCGAGGAAGGACAUCACCCACAGAAGAAGCACCGGCUAACUCCGUGCCAGCAGCCGCGGUAAUACGGAGGGUGCGAGCGUUAAUCGGAAUUACUGGGCGUAAAGCGCGCGUAGGCGGUCUGGUAAGCCGGUUGUGAAAGCCCCGGGCUCAACCUGGGAACGGCAUCCGGAACUGUCAGGCUAGAGUGCAGGAGAGGAAGGUAGAAUUCCCGGUGUAGCGGUGAAAUGCGUAGAGAUCGGGAGGAAUACCAGUGGCGAAGGCGGCCUUCUGGACUGACACUGACGCUGAGGUGCGAAAGCGUGGGUAGCAAACAGGAUUAGAUACCCUGGUAGUCCACGCCGUAAACGAUGUCGACUAGCCGUUGGGCUCCUUGAGAGCUUUGUGGCGCAGUUAACGCGAUAAGUCGACCGCCUGGGGAGUACGGCCGCAAGGUUAAAACUCAAAUGAAUUGACGGGGGCCCGCACAAGCGGU